GGAAGCUGAAACAAAAACAACCAGUUUGCAGCUGUUGAAAAUGUGUACAGCAUUCAUGAUCUGGUUAAUGAUUUUUUUUUUUUUUUCUGAGAGAACAUAAAUCACCAGGUGCCACUGAGAAAGAGAAAGAGGAAAACACAUCUCCAGUUUUGGCCAGAAAGAAGCAGCAGGGACAGCACUGCAAGAGAUCUUCAAAAGCAUGCAAAGUUUUCAAUGAAUUGAGAAAUGAAGAUAAUGGAGUCACAGAAAUUCCAGAGCAUUGGAAAUCCAGUACCAGUGCUUUAGCCCCACAAGAAACAAAACCCGUGCCUUUGACUUUCCAAGAAGUGCCUCUGAAGCAUCCAG
Athene cunicularia (burrowing owl) is the source of this 345-nucleotide long non-coding RNA. RefSeq lists it as uncharacterized. The record is from RefSeq and is a predicted model, not a curated record. Lineage: Eukaryota; Metazoa; Chordata; Aves; Strigiformes; Strigidae. The transcript is spliced from 3 exons.